UUGCUCACUUCAGCAGCACAAAUACUAAAAUUGGAACUGUACAGAGAAGAUGAGCAUGGCCCCUGUAUGAGGAUUACAUACAAAUUUGUGAAGCAUUCCAUCAAAAA
Molecule: small nuclear RNA, 107 nt
Organism: Hyaena hyaena (striped hyena)
Lineage: Eukaryota; Metazoa; Chordata; Mammalia; Carnivora; Hyaenidae
Source: RefSeq, a predicted model, not a curated record